This 1038-nucleotide ribosomal RNA is filed under the name uncultured Amoebozoa. RNAcentral describes it as "SSU rRNA". It matches the Rfam family "Eukaryotic small subunit ribosomal RNA", at positions 121 to 1108 of the family's 1831-position model. The record is from RNAcentral.
UUGAUAUACCUACACUACUUGGAUAACCGUAGUAAUUCUAGAGCUAAUACAUGCUAAGAGGGGGGACGUAAGAACCCCUGCAUUUAUUAGAUACAAAACCAGUGCAUGGGGGGCAACCCUCAUGGAACACAUGGCGAGUCAUAAUAACUGAGCGAAUCGCAUGGCCUUGCGCCGGCGAUGAUUCAUUCAAAUUUCUGCCCUAUCAACUUUCGAUGGUAGUGUAGUGGACUACCAUGGUGAUAACGGGUGACGGGGAAUUAGGGUUCGAUUCCGGAGAGGGAGCCUGAGAGACGGCUACCACUUCCAAGGAAGGCAGCAGGCGCGAAAAUUACCCAAUUGCAACAAGUGCAGAGGUAGUGACAAUAAAUAACAAUACGGGACCCGACAAGGGUCUCGUAAUUGGAAUGAGUACAAUUUAAACCCCUUAACGAGGAACAAUUGGAGGGCAAGUCUGGUGCCAGCAGCCGCGGUAAUUCCAGCUCCAAUAGCGUAUAUUAAAGUUGUUGCAGUUAAAAAGCUCGUAGUCGGAGUUCGGGGACUCCCAUGCUCGGUCUGCCGGAAAGGUGUGUACUAGCAUGGGAUCCCCUCCUUCCAGUCUGCCCCCUCCUGCUCUUAACUGAGUGGGAGGUAAAAGCGUCCCCUCCGCGAGGGGGGGGCGUGGGGCUCUGGAUCUUUUACUUUGAAAAAAUUAGAGUGUUUAAAGCAGGCCCUUAGUGCCUUGAAUACAUUAGCAUGGGAUAAUGGAAUAGGACCGGGCUCCUAUUUUCGUUGGUUUCCGGGGGACCCGGUAAUGAUCAAUGGAGAUGGUCGGGGUGAUUCAUAUUUAAUUGUCAGAGGUGAAAUUCUCGGAUUUAUAAAAGAUGCACUGGUGCGAAAGCGUCUCACAAGGACGUUUUCAUCGAUCAAGAACGAAAGUUAAGGGAUCGAAGACGAUCAGAUACCGUCGUAGUCUUAACCAUAAACGAUGCCGACCAGCGAUCAGGAGACGUUCAAAUUUUAUCGACUCCCCUGGCAGCUUGAGAGAAAUCACGAGUCUUU